UUAUUCUGGCGCCGAGUGUUUGUAAACAUUGGCAUUCUUAAAAACCAUGCGCAAAGUUUGUUUCUGACUCACUGGCGAGAUGAUCAACUCUGCAAUUUUUGUUUCGCAUCAGCCUCACCCUUAUCUAACAAAGAAUGGAAACUUGAAUAUUGCUGAAAAGAAGGGGAUGUUACCAUAGGUGUUUUUCUCCCUGUACUCAUCAGGACAAAUGCAAGAAUGCCAAAUUUCAAAUGAUGCUAGCAACUGACACCACUGGAGAAAAGGGUGCUGACUGGUUGGCAAGUCAACUCUGAUUGGCCAAGACUUUGCCAUGGAGAAACCAACAGGGAAUUAAAGACUCCACAGGAUUCUGGGUAAUUCAAAAAAAGGUUCAAAGCUUGAACACCUUUUAGUUUGCAGAGAACAGAACCCUGCAGGGAAAACCUUCUUGCAUUGCUGAAAGGAAGUCCUUUGCAUCAUAUUGAUAACUCUGCCAAGUUCACAUUAGUUCAGUACUUUGCAAACAGACUCUAAUAAAGAUGGAACAAAAACAAAGUUGCUGGAAAAGCUCAGCAGGUCUGGCAGCAUCAGUGAAGGAGAAAACAGAGUUAACGUUUCGGGUCCGGUGACCCUUCCUCAGAACUCUAAUAAAGAUGGCACCUUUCCCAGUU
This is a long non-coding RNA of Rhincodon typus (whale shark), 650 nucleotides long. RefSeq lists it as uncharacterized. The record is from RefSeq and is a predicted model, not a curated record. The transcript is spliced from 3 exons. Lineage: Eukaryota; Metazoa; Chordata; Chondrichthyes; Orectolobiformes; Rhincodontidae.